AUCCAGCUGACGAGUCUUGUAUAGGACGAAACGUGUGUCCUGGAU
Molecule: non-coding RNA, 45 nt
Organism: Schistosoma haematobium
Lineage: Eukaryota; Metazoa; Platyhelminthes; Trematoda; Strigeidida; Schistosomatidae
Source: Rfam